GCCCUCUUAGCACAGUGGCAGUGCACCUCCUUGGUAAGGAGGGGGUCGACAGUUCAAUUCUGUCAGAGGGCUCCA
RNAcentral lists this transfer RNA (75 nucleotides) under Kofleriaceae bacterium. RNAcentral's name for it is "tRNA-Thr". It matches the Rfam family "tRNA". From Rfam's summary of the family: Transfer RNA (tRNA) molecules are approximately 80 nucleotides in length. Their secondary structure includes four short double-helical elements and three loops (D, anti-codon, and T loops). RNAcentral also lists the same sequence under 1 other name. Lineage: Bacteria; Pseudomonadati; Myxococcota; Haliangiales; Kofleriaceae. The record is from RNAcentral.